Molecule: ribosomal RNA, 498 nt
Filed under: uncultured bacterium
Lineage: Bacteria
Description: partial 16S ribosomal RNA
Rfam family: Bacterial small subunit ribosomal RNA
Source: RNAcentral
GACGAACGCUGGCGGCGUGCCUAAUACAUGCAAGUCGAACGAGAGCGCCCGGUGCUUGCACUGGUCAAUCUAGUGGCGAACGGGUGAGUAACACGUGGGUAACCUGCCCAUCAGAGGGGGAUAACAUUCGGAAACGGAUGCUAAAACCGCAUAGGUCUUCGAACCGCAUGGUUUGAAGAGGAAAAGAGGCGCACGCUUCUGCUGAUGGAUGGACCCGCGGUGCAUUAGCUAGUUGGUGAGGUAACGGCUCACCAAGGCCGUGAUGCAUAGCCGACCUGAGAGGGUGAUCGGCCACAUUGGGACUGAGACACGGCCCAAACUCCUACGGGAGGCAGCAGUAGGGAAUCUUCCGCAAUGGGCGCAAGUCUGACGGAGCAACGCCGCGUGAGUGAAGAAGGUUUUCGGAUCGUAAAACUCUGUUGUUAGAGAAGAAUAAGUGCUAGAGUAACUGUUAGCGCCUUGACGGUAUCUAACCAGAAAGCCACGGCUAACUACGUG